RNAcentral lists this long non-coding RNA (450 nucleotides) under Homo sapiens (human). RNAcentral describes it as "HSALNT0078237". The record is from RNAcentral. Lineage: Eukaryota; Metazoa; Chordata; Mammalia; Primates; Hominidae.
AAAUGCAUAAGAAAGCAAAGGAAUUUUAUGGAAGAUAUUCACCACCAGCAAGAAAGUCAUACUUCAAUCCUCCAGAAUAGAUUACUUCUGAUUUGAAAGGAUACAUUUCUUAGGGAAAUCAGUGCAUUGGUUACAUGAAAACCGUGUGACAACCUUGGAAGUCUGAAAGAGCAGGAGAGAGGCUAAGCACACACAUAUUGUGAUUUUAAGAGUCUCAAGGUGAGAAGAAACAUCAGAAGCAGUUGAGAGACCAGGACGUGGGUCCUCAAAGGAUGAACAGAAGUUCUUUUGGAUAACAUUUUAAAAUGUUUCCUCCAGAGUUAUCUGCCUCAUUAACAAUGGUUUGAGUCUCAAGAGUCUCUCUUCGAUUUUACAAACAUGAUUUGUUGCUCUGCUAUAAAUGCAUGCUGCUCUAGUCCUUCAAUAAACCCACAACAUGUUUUCACCAUU